AAGGUCACCUUGUGAGAUCCUGAACCUCCAAUAGUUGCUCGGACCUCAGAGGCUAAUUUCUCUUGGACAUCUGGAUGACAGGCUAGCAGAGGUCAGCAGACAUGUCAAAAAAGAAGUUCUCACUCUCUUGAGACACCAGGCCAAUGUCAAAAUAUCUGAUGAUGGCAUAAGGACUAUGUCGUCUCUCAGAAAUGGCUGGCCAAAUUCAACCCAUACUAUGCCUCCGUCAUCAGCCUGUGAUGGCUUUCGAGUACUCACUCUGG
Long non-coding RNA from Acanthaster planci (crown-of-thorns starfish), 263 nucleotides. RefSeq lists it as uncharacterized. NCBI's taxonomy places the organism in Eukaryota, Metazoa, Echinodermata, Asteroidea, Valvatida, Acanthasteridae. The record is from RefSeq and is a predicted model, not a curated record.